This 432-nucleotide ribosomal RNA is filed under the name uncultured bacterium. RNAcentral's name for it is "partial 16S ribosomal RNA". It matches the Rfam family "Bacterial small subunit ribosomal RNA", at positions 29 to 506 of the family's 1533-position model. The record is from RNAcentral.
AACGAACGCUGGCGGCAUGCCUAACACAUGCAAGUCGAACGAGACCUUCGGGUCUAGUGGCGCACGGGUGCGUAACGCGUGGGAACCUGCCCUUAGGUUCGGAAUAACUCCCCGAAAGGGGUGCUAAUACCGGAUAAUGUCUUCGGACCAAAGAUUUAUCGCCUUUGGAUGGGCCCGCGUUGGAUUAGCUAGUUGGUAGGGUAAAAGCCUACCAAGGCGACGAUCCAUAGCUGGUCUGAGAGGAUGAUCAGCCACACUGGGACUGAGACACGGCCCAGACUCCUACGGGAGGCAGCAGUAGGGAAUAUUGGACAAUGGGCGAAAGCCUGAUCCAGCAAUGCCGCGUGAGUGAUGAAGGCCUUAGGGUUGUAAAGCUCUUUUACCCGGGAUGAUAAGGACAGUACCGGGAGAAUAAGCUCCGGCUAACUCCGU